RNAcentral lists this ribosomal RNA (513 nucleotides) under uncultured bacterium. Its description in RNAcentral is "partial 16S ribosomal RNA". The record is from RNAcentral.
GGAGUUAGCCGGUGCUUCUUCUGCGAGUAACGUCACAGAUGUAAGGUAUUAACUUACACCCUUUCCUCCUCGCUGAAAGUGCUUUACAACCCGAAGGCCUUCUUCACACACGCGGCAUGGCUGCAUCAGGGUUUCCCCCAUUGUGCAAUAUUCCCCACUGCUGCCUCCCGUAGGAGUCUGGGCCGUGUCUCAGUCCCAGUGUGGCUGAUCAUCCUCUCAGACCAGCUAGGGAUCGUCGCCUAGGUGAGCCUUUACCUCACCUACUAGCUAAUCCCACCUGGGCUUAUCCAUCAGCGCAAGGCCCGAAGGUCCCCUGCUUUCCCCCGUAGGGCGUAUGCGGUAUUAGCAGUCGUUUCCAACUGUUAUCCCCCACAAAUGGGCAAAUUCCCAGGCAUUACUCACCCGUCCGCCGCUCGUCAUCUUCAAAAGCAAGCUUUUGAAAUGUUACCGCUCGACUUGCAUGUGUUAGGCCUGCCGCCAGCGUUCAAAUCUGAGCCAGGAUCAAAACUCUGA